GCUUAUUCAAAAAUAACAGCCUCUUUCUACUGCUUUGUAAUUUCUAUGUCUUAGCACGACGGGAUUGAUGCUGUAAGCAGUAAUUUACAACAGACCUAGCAGAUGCCCACAGCACUGAGAUCAGGUGAUCACAGCCACUUCCAGCUGAAACAUGACCACAUUGUGCAAUGGAUCCAGUUAGGAAAACAAAAGCACCAUGCCUGUAACUUCUUGCAUGUUCUCAGGAACAUCCCUAUAGACUUGGCUACAAAUUUCACAACAGUUCUUCUUGAGGAAGAUCUUGAAGCACAAAAGCAGAGAAAAACACCCAUAAAAAGGCCAACUUAAUGUUUCAGGAAACAAGGCAAGCUUUGGAUAGUACUGAUUCUAGGAAUAGGCAAAAGUCUCUUAUUUCAGUUAUUACUUUGCCCAUCUUCAUUAUUUACCAGGAAACCUCAAGACCUGUUACAUGAUCACAGACAACUGUAAUGAUGCCUGGUGAUAUAUAUGUACUAACAAAGGAAAAACAACUGUGAAAUGUGUUAUUAGGGAUGGAUUUAUUGUACUUGGUAGAUAAUAUCAGAUAAUCAUGAAGAGAGAAGUUCUUCUUUCAAACCAGAGCAUUUAUCGAUAGACUAAAGUCUAAUUUGCCUGAUGUGUUUUUCUAAAAUUGAUUGUAUAAGCCACGUGUUUUUGUCUCCAUCUGGCUUAUGCCAUUUGCAGCUAAAAUGCUAUGAUGUUUUUUUGUUGUUGUUGUUUGCCUGUUGUUUUUUUGUUUGCUUGUUUUUUUCCCUUCUCCAAUCUCAGAGAUCACCUGCAUGGUUGAUAAGGAAAUAACAUUCAUCUUAUCUCUGCACUGCCACUUACCCAUCGUAAAUAAUAUGUGUAGUUCUUAGAAAUGGUCUGCACCUGUGCUUUCCUCACAUUUGUGCUUCUCAAGACCUCCCUAUUUUUCUACAGUAGUAUCGUACUGCAACUCAGAUGAGUUUAAAGGUGAAGAUUCAUGAGUCAGGAAGAGCUAAGCCUUACUUUAUGCAAAAACCACCAGCAUGCUUUUGCUUCUAAACUGAGCAAAAGUGAUGGGAAGUCUCUGAAAGACAGUAAACACGAACCAUACUUAAAUGCUAACCUGCUUUAAAUAGCGUUUUGACAAUACAGAAAAUUAUUCUAAGACUUACAGCAGUUCUGCAGAACC
RNAcentral lists this long non-coding RNA (1174 nucleotides) under Phasianus colchicus (ring-necked pheasant). Its description in RNAcentral is "lncRNA (ENSPCLG00000002119.1)". Lineage: Eukaryota; Metazoa; Chordata; Aves; Galliformes; Phasianidae. The record is from RNAcentral.